This is a long non-coding RNA of Malaclemys terrapin pileata, 1483 nucleotides long. RefSeq lists it as uncharacterized. The record is from RefSeq and is a predicted model, not a curated record. The transcript has 4 exons. NCBI's taxonomy places the organism in Eukaryota, Metazoa, Chordata, Testudines, Emydidae.
ACCAUGCAUGCUGACCUCCAUUUUCAGGAAAGGACUGGGAAAUAGCACUGGUUCCUGCAGACUUCUGGGAUUUUCCAAGGGAUUUAAGAAUCAACAUCUCCUACAAAGUCUAUGCUGGGAAAAAUGCUGAAGGAAAGGAAAAUAAUGUCAGCUGGUGGUGUCAUCCCUCAUGGAAAACAUUCUGAGGAGGACAGCACAAUAAAACUUGGGAGUGAAGGUGUCACUUCUGUGUUUAAAUGGCGGUGAACUGAAACAGAGAUAAUAUUUGGAUUUGGGAUACAAUACCAAGAUCUGUCCCUGGCUUUCUUCACAUGGGUUCCUAGAUGGUGACUCCAUGACUUAGAAAGAGUAGAUUUCUCAUCUCAUCCACCCGACGCUACACCUUUUAAUUCUUUCCACCAUCCCAGAACUCAAAAGGUAACCUAUCUGACACCUCCCACCCUCUGUCAUGCCCCCAGAACCAGACUCUUUUUUUCCUCCCCAAAGCUGAUAGCAAGAGAAUAUCACCAUUUUUCAAAAGGAAGUGUUCCCCCCGCUCCUUUUCCUUCAUUAUGCAGCCUUUACUUCAAUGGGACUACUCACAUGCUUAAAUUACAUUGUAGAAUCAGGACCGUAACUAGGUAACCUAUUUUAAAGCAUUGUUCCUCCUAAUAGCAUAUAUCAUUUUGUCUGGUCAGCUAUAAUUUCAUUGUUAGGGACUGCAUUUAAAAGUCUUCUCGUCAUUAUCUGUAGGUGGCAGAAUCUACAAUGUAACAUACUGUGCUGGAUCUGUCUAAGUCUCUUUUCCUCCUGAUUGUGGUAUAUGAACCUCAAAAUCUGCUACAUUUUGUUGGACCUGCAGAUAUCGUUAGCAAAAUUUUAGCAAUUUCACCCAUCUAUCCAACAAGACAGAUUUAUAAGUAGAGAGCCAGCCAUCAAUUUGAGGAAAAUCUCUCCCACUUGGGAAUAGUAAUGACCCUCGUGUUCACAUAUUACUGUGCCUUGGGGUAUAAUACUUUUGCUUUCAAAAGUCCCUAUGUGGAAGGGACCAUCUCUGAGACAGAAAGAGUCUUUAUUCUGACUCAAAGUGGUUAAGUCAUCAUAUCACUAAUGGAACAAAAACAGCUAAGCAGGGACCUGCUCUGUUUUGUCACAAAAGUCAGGCACUGGCCAUACUGGUGGAGAUUAUCAUUAUCACAUAUUACUGAGCCAAGAAUAAUAGAAGUGUUCCAUUUUACAUCAUAUCUUGCUUUAAUAUAAGCAGUUCAAGUUUCUAUUUUGAUUAUUCUUUAAUUUAAUCUUUUAGUAGAAAGCUGGUAUUUAAGUAUACAUUGGACAAAAUAAUGUGAAUCACCUUUGUAACAAAUAAAACCAGGAAAUUCACUGUUACCUAUUAUGGAUGCCUAUUUACUUACUCAUGUUUUCUCUUGUUACUGAAGAGUUGACUGAAUUACAACUGUUAUAUCAUGAAAGAUUGCCAUUUCUAACAAAGACCAAAAGAGGA